Chiloscyllium plagiosum (whitespotted bambooshark) is the source of this 229-nucleotide long non-coding RNA. RefSeq lists it as uncharacterized. Lineage: Eukaryota; Metazoa; Chordata; Chondrichthyes; Orectolobiformes; Hemiscylliidae. The record is from RefSeq and is a predicted model, not a curated record.
CCUGAUCAGUCAUUCUUUUUUCAGAUGCUUCACAUGAAAGGCAAUCAUCAAAUGAAGGAACAACCUUACUAUUCUUGAGCAAACAAAUGAUCUGAGGACCCCAAAAUGUCUUUUGCACCAAAUGAAGCACAUUUUAAGUGUAGUGUUACCAGAGCCACUCUGAUUGUGAAUGGAACUGUAAAUGCCUGAUGUAGGAAUGGAGAACAGAGCAGGCCAACAUGGGAAGCGA